RNA transcript from Pygoscelis adeliae (Adelie penguin), 534 nucleotides. It is a transcript of the gene named signal peptidase complex subunit 3 pseudogene, with no coding region annotated. The record is from RefSeq and is a predicted model, not a curated record. Lineage: Eukaryota; Metazoa; Chordata; Aves; Sphenisciformes; Spheniscidae. The transcript has a single exon.
UUCAUCACCACCGCCUUCAAGGAGCGGAGCGUGCCCGUCAGCAUCGCCCUGUCCCGGGUCACGCUAAAAACUGUAGAAGAUUUCACUGGACCUAGAGAAAGAAGUGAUCCGGGAUUCGUCACAUUUGACAUUACUGCAGAUCUGCAGAGCAUAUUUGACUGGAAUGUUAAACAAUUGUUUCUAUAUUUGUCUGCAGAAUAUUCAACGAAAAACAAUGCUCUAAACCAGGUGGUCCUUUGGGACAAGAUCAUGUUGAGAGGAGAUAACCCGAGGCUGUUCUUAAAAGACAUGAAGUCAAAGUACUUUUUCUUUGAUGAUGGAAAUGGUCUCAAGGGAAACAGGAAUGUCACUUUGACUCUCUCCUGGAAUGUUGUACCAAAUGCUGGCGUUCUCCCUCUUGUAACAGGAUCGGGACACGUGUCUGUACCUUUCCCAGGUACCUAUGGAACAACAAAAGUUAUUAUUCAUUCUCCUAUAAUUAUUAAUCAGCUAAUAACCACCUCAAAACUUUCUACAAGCCUCAGCAAACCAUGA